Molecule: ribosomal RNA, 1032 nt
Filed under: uncultured Bacteroidota bacterium
Lineage: Bacteria; Pseudomonadati; Bacteroidota
Description: bacterial SSU rRNA
Rfam family: Bacterial small subunit ribosomal RNA
Source: RNAcentral
GAGUUUGAUCCUGGCUCAGGAUGAACGCUAGCGGCAGGCUUAACACAUGCAAGUCGAACGGUAACAGAGAAAGCUUGCUUUUUGCUGACGAGUGGCGAACGGGUGCGUAACGCGUAUGCAACCUACCUUCUUCUAAGGAAUAGCCCGGAGAAAUUUGGAUUAAUACCUUAUGAUAAUAUUUAUUCGCAUGUUUAAAUAUUUAAAACUCCGGUGGAAGAAGAUGGGCAUGCGUAACAUUAGUUUGUUGGUGAGGUAAUGGCUCACCAAGACUACGAUGUUUAGGGGGUCUGAGAGGAUGAUCCCCCACACUGGUACUGAGACACGGACCAGACUCCUACGGGAGGCAGCAGUGAGGAAUAUUGGUCAAUGGACGAAAGUCUGAACCAGCCAUGCCGCGUGAAGGAUGACGGCCCUACGGGUUGUAAACUUCUUUUGUAUAGGAAGAAACCCCUCUACGUGUAGAGGGUUGACGGUACUAUUCGAAUAAGCACCGGCUAACUCCGUGCCAGCAGCCGCGGUAAUACGGAGGGUGCGAGCGUUAUCCGGAAUUAUUGGGUUUAAAGGGUGCGUAGGCGGAAAUUUAAGUCAGUGGUGAAAGCCUGCAGCUUAACUGUAGAAUUGCCAUUGAUACUGGAUUUCUUGAAUCUAAUAGAAGUAGGCGGAAUAUGACAUGUAGCGGUGAAAUGCUUAGAUAUGUCAUAGAACACCGAUAGCGAAGGCAGCUUACUAUGUUAGUAUUGACGCUAAUGCACGAWAGCGUGGGGAGCGAACAGGAUUAGAUACCCUGGUAGUCCACGCCGUAAACGAUGAUUACUCGCUAUUGGCGAUACACUGUCAGUGGCUAAGCGAAAGUGAUAAGUAAUCCACCUGGGGAGUACGAUCGCUAGGUUGAAACUCAAAGGAAUUGACGGGGGCCCGCACAAGCGUUGGAGCAUGUGGUUUAAUUCGAUGAUACGCGAGGAACCUUACCAGGUCUUAAAUGCAUAACGAUCGAUUGGGAAACCAAUCUUUCUUCGGACGGGAUGCAAGGUG